RNAcentral lists this ribosomal RNA (194 nucleotides) under uncultured Pseudomonas sp. RNAcentral's name for it is "partial 16S ribosomal RNA". It matches the Rfam family "Bacterial small subunit ribosomal RNA", at positions 338 to 524 of the family's 1533-position model. Lineage: Bacteria; Pseudomonadati; Pseudomonadota; Gammaproteobacteria; Pseudomonadales; Pseudomonadaceae. The record is from RNAcentral.
CCUACGGGAGGCAGCAGUGGGGAAUAUUGGACAAUGGGCGAAAGCCUGAUCCAGCCAUGCCGCGUAUGUGAAGAAGGUCUUCGGAUUGUAAAGCACUUUAAGUUGGGAGGAAGGGCAUUAACCUAAUACGUUAGUGUCUUGACGUUACCGACAGAAUAAGCACCGGCUAACUCUGUGCCAGCAGCCGCGGUAAU